Mus musculus (house mouse) is the source of this 5434-nucleotide RNA transcript. It is a transcript of the gene named hect domain and RLD 3, with no coding region annotated. The record is from RefSeq and is marked validated. The transcript has 27 exons. NCBI's taxonomy places the organism in Eukaryota, Metazoa, Chordata, Mammalia, Rodentia, Muridae.
CACCCGCCGCGCCCCGCCCCGCUGCCGCCGCCACCAUUGGCCAGGCGGGAAGUCGGUCUCCCAGCUCAUUCUGCGCCCGCGGGAGUGCGGGGGAAACUUCAUUAUUACUGUGACGCUGAAGGCCGGGGAGGCCCGAGCUGCCUGAGGGCUGCGACCGCGGGGUCGGCGCUGCGGACCCGGGUGCAGGUGCGGGCGGGGCGGGGAUCUCAGGGCACCGAGCCCGCCGCACCCGCGGAGGAGGGGGCUGGGCUGUCCGCAGCUCCCUGUCGCCGAGGCGCCUCCCGGCUCUGCUUAGCCGCUUAGCCGCGGGCGGCGGGUGACCUCCCUGCGUGAAGAGCAUCGCGGCGCCGCGGCAGGGGAAUUCGCGUUGCGGCUGGCCGCGGGCUCCUCCCACCCAGCUGGCGGGCGGGGCUCGGGGACCUGGUGUCUGGUGCAGACGCCGCUGCGGCCGAGCCGACGGCUGGACCCUGGAGCAGAAAAACAAAAUCGGUGGCUUACUCCAGUUUUGACCCCAUCUGAGAAGUUAAACUGCAGGAAUCAAAUUAGAUGCAAAACUCCUUUGUCGUGAAAAAUAGAAGCAUGGUUCACUGUUAGCCAGUUGGACUUGUUCAGCUAUAUGAGACCCUGAAGGAUAAGAACAAUGUUAUGUUGGGGGUAUUGGUCUCUGGGCCAACCAGGCAUCAGCUCCAACCUGCAAGGAAUCGUGGCUGAGCCCCAGGUGUGCCGCUUUGUAUCGGACAGAAGCAUCAAGGAAGUGGCGUGCGGAGGAAACCACUCCGUGUUCCUGCUGGAGGACGGGGAGGUUUACACGUGUGGAGUAAACACCAAGGGGCAGCUUGGCCAUGAGAGGGAAGGUAACAAGCCAGAACAAAUUGGAGCAUUAGCUGAUCAGCAUAUCAUACACGUGGCAUGUGGCGAGUCACACAGUCUGGCUCUCAGUGACCGGGGUCAGCUGUUUUCUUGGGGUGCAGGAAGUGAUGGCCAACUGGGCCUCAUGACUACUGAGGAUUCCGUGGCUGUGCCCAGGCUAAUCCAGAAACUGAACCAGCAGACCAUAUUACAAGUUUCCUGUGGCAACUGGCACUGCUUGGCUCUGGCAGCUGAUGGCCAGUUCUUCACAUGGGGGAAGAACAGCCAUGGACAGCUGGGACUGGGGAAGGAGUUCCCCUCCCAAACCAGCCCACAGAGGGUGAGAUCUUUGGAAGGGAUCCCGCUGGCUCAGGUGGCUGCAGGAGGGGCUCAUAGCUUUGCCCUGUCUCUCUCGGGAGCUGUUUUUGGCUGGGGAAUGAAUAAUGCAGGGCAGCUAGGGCUCAGUGAUGAAAAAGACCGGGAGUCUCCAUGCCACGUGAAGCUUUUACGCACACAGAAAGUCGUCUAUAUUAGUUGUGGAGAGGAGCACACAGCAGUUCUCACAAAGAGUGGGGGCGUGUUUACCUUUGGUGCUGGCUCCUGUGGGCAGCUUGGACAUGACUCGGUGAAUGAUGAAGUUAAUCCGAGAAGAGUCCUGGAGCUGAUGGGCAGUGAAGUAACUCAGAUUGCUUGUGGCAGACAGCACACUCUAGCCCUUGUGCCUUCUUCUGGACUCAUCUAUGCAUUUGGUUGUGGAGCUAAAGGUCAGCUGGGAACCGGACAUACAUGUAAUGUCAAGUGCCCAUCUCCUGUGAAGGGCCACUGGGCUGCCCACAGCAGUCAGCUUUCAGCUCGCGCCGAUCGCUUUAAGUAUCGUGUCGUUAAGCAGAUCUUCUCUGGAGGGGACCAGACUUUUGUACUUUGCUCCACGUAUGAGAAUUCUUCUCCUGCUGUUGACUUCAGAACUGUGAACCAAACACAUUAUACCAACUUAAUAAAUGAUGAAACCAUAGCAGUUUGGAGACAAAAACUCACAGAACACAACAACGCAAAUACUGUCAAUGGUGUUGUUCAGAUACUGUCUUCUGCAGCUUGUUGGAAUGGAAGCUUUCUGGAAAAAAAAAUUGAUGAACAUUUUAAAACUAGUCCCAAAAUCCCCGGGAUUGACCUGAACUCAACUAGGAUUUUAUUUGAGAAGUUAAUGCACUCUCAGCACUCCAUGAUUCUAGAACAGAUAUUAAACAGCUUUGAAAGUUGCCUCAUUCCCCAGUUAUCAAGUUCACCCCCAGAUGUGGAAGCAAUGAGAAUCUAUUUAAUCCUACCGGAGUUUCCGCUGCUUCAGGACUCUAAGUAUUACAUAACGCUGACCAUUCCCCUGGCAAUGGCCAUUCUGCGGCUGGAAACAAACCCUAGCAAAGUAUUAGAUAACUGGUGGUCUCAGGCAUGCCCCAAAUAUUUCAUGAAGCUGGUAACCCUGUAUAAAGGUGCCGUCCUUUACCUCCUAAGGGGAAGGAAGACAUUCCUAAUCCCGGUACUGUUUAACAACUACAUGACUGCAACCCUCAAGCUUCUGGAGAAGUUGUACAAGGUAAAUCUUAAGGUGAAGCAUGUGGAAUACGAUAAGUUUUAUAUCCCUGAGAUUUCUAGUCUUGUGGACAUUCAGGAAGACUACCUCAUGUGGUUUUUGCAUCAAUCUGGGAUGAAGGCUAGACCCUCUAUCAUGCAGGAUGCUGUAACCCUUUGUUCCUAUCCUUUCAUCUUUGAUGCCCAAGCUAAGACCAAGAUGCUGCAGACUGAUGCCGAGUUACAGAUGCAGGUGGCAGUCAAUGGAGCCAACCUGCAGAAUGUCUUCAUGCUUCUUACCCUGGAGCCUCUGCUGGCCAGAAGCCCCUUCCUGGUCCUCCAUGUCCGUAGGAACCACCUUGUUGGAGAUGCCCUGAGAGAGCUGAGCAUUCACUCUGACAUUGACUUGAAGAAGCCUCUCAAAGUAAUCUUUGAUGGGGAAGAAGGAGUAGAUGCUGGUGGUGUUACGAAGGAGUUCUUUCUUUUGCUAUUAAAAGAACUUUUGAAUCCCAUUUAUGGGAUGUUUACCUACUAUCAAGAUUCAAAUCUCUUGUGGUUUUCAGAUACAUGUUUUGUAGAGCACAACUGGUUUCACUUGAUUGGCAUAACCUGUGGAUUAGCUAUCUACAACUCCACUGUGGUUGACCUCCACUUCCCGUUGGCUCUCUACAAGAAGUUACUGAAUGUAAAGCCCAGCUUGGAAGAUUUGAAGGAACUGUCACCAACUGAAGGAAGGAGUCUUCAAGAGCUUCUAGAUUACCCCGGUGAAGACAUCGAGGAGACCUUUUGCCUCAACUUCACGGUGUGCCGAGAAAGCUAUGGGGUGAUAGAACAGAAGAAGUUGAUACCCGGGGGAGACAGAGUGGCCGUGUGCAAAGACAACAGAGAACAGAAAUGCAGGAGAACCAUUUUCCUUCACCUUUGCAGACCCACAGUGCGUGCCUGUAUCUGCGCAGACCAUCUUUGGCUCUUAGAGCACAGUUAGACAUCUCUGUUAAACCUAUAUCCUCGUGGCAAAUUGUUCCGGGAGGGACCUUGGCAUUGAUUCUGCAAGAAUUCGUGGACGCUUAUGUGAAUUACAUCUUCCAAAUUUCGGUUCACGAGUGGUACACAGCCUUCUCCAGUGGCUUCCUAAAGGUGUGUGGUGGCAAAGUCCUCGAGCUCUUCCAGCCUGCAGAACUGAGGGCCAUGAUGGUGGGGAACAGCAACUAUGACUGGGAAGAGCUGGAAGAGACUGCUGUCUACAGGGGUGAUUAUUCAAGCACACAUCCCACUGUGAAACUCUUCUGGGAGACAUUCCACGAGUUCCCAUUGGAGAAGAAGAAGAAGUUUCUUUUGUUCCUAACAGGCAGUGACCGGAUUCCCAUCUAUGGCAUGGCCAGUCUUCAGAUCAUCAUCCAGUCCACAGCCACUGGGGAGGAAUACUUACCCGUGGCCCAUACCUGCUACAACCUUCUUGACCUCCCUAAGUAUAGCAGCAAAGAGAUCAUGAAGGCUCGGCUGACCCAGGCCCUCGACAACUAUGAGGGUUUUAGUUUGGCCUGAGGUACCCCAGCUUACCUAAGACAUCCAUCCCUUCCUUCUUCUGUGGCCACAUUGAGGCUGAAUAAAAUACCAUGGGAAGUGAUUUCUAUUUUUUUAUUGUUUAAGUGGUUUGAAACUUUUGAAUCCUAAACCCUAGUCAAGGUGUUUCUGGGGUUCAAUAGUGAAUAGUCUUUCUGAAAAAAUCAGUGGUUGGGGAUGAGCCAAAAAAAAAAUUGGCUUUGGUAUGGGAAGUGGACUUGAUUUUGUUUUGUUUUGUUUUGUUUUAAACCGAGGUACCUGUUGUUCCUUCAUCUGUGAAUGUGUUGCAAUCUGCUGGAUUUAAUGGCAGUAGGUUUUCAGCUUUUGUUUCCCAGAUGUCCCUCAGUCCUGAUGUUUCUUCACCAUGCUUUGCUGCUCUCUUCCUGGCCUCUCAGUCCCUACAGGGGUGACUUGAUGGAUAUGUCCCUUCUUGCCCGCCAUGCAGAACAUUUCCUACUCCUCAGCACUGGAAAUGCAUGGCUUGUUGCAGCCCAGCCCAGCCCACAGAUGGAACUCCCAAGACAAAGAAGCUGAGCCUUGUCAUAGCUCUUGAGUCUUUGUGGGAACCUUUAUGAACAUGUCCUGCUUUAAGGAAAUAGGUCAUGAGUGCCUACUGCCUGGGCCUCCUGAAACACACAUACACAAGAGCCGCAGGUUGCAGGCGGGCUGCAUGUGUCUUGUUAGCCAUGACCCGUGGAUUUACAGUGAAUUGGUAGACCUUCUUUAUCAUACUUUUGAAAUGCAAGUUGCAUUUUCUUGUUUCCAUAUUGCCUAAGAACAGUACAAUUAAUAAAGGUUUCCCCUUCUUUAUUCCUUUCUAGCUCCUGCUCUCUUCCUUCCCUUUCUUCUUGUGCUCCCCUCUCCUCCCUUCCUCUUGCUCUCCUACUCUUCCUUGUCUUUGCUGCUUGACUCCGUUCCCCUCUUCCUUCUGGUAGUGGAUGCAUGCUGUCUUUUUUAUUUUAAAUUUUGUAAGUUUUUUUUUAAACCUCUGUCUCUAACUGUGAAAAUAUGAAGAUACUCUUUAUAAUAGAGUUUUUGUUUUAUCACAUGUGAAGUGUGCAUUUACAGUGAAAUUUCAGCAGGGGGAUUAUGUUAAGUCAAAUGCGUGUGUCUCAAAAGUGACAUGUUUAACUGCUCAUCACUGUAUAAGAAAAUUCUACAUGGUCAAAGAGUUCAUGUAAUUCUAAUUUUAAAUCUGUAGUAGAUAGAGAAAGUAUUUAUUUAUCUAAAAUGAAGUACUUAUAGAUUGUGAUGCAGCACCGAGUCUUGAUGAAGGAAUGUAGAUUUUUGCUUUUCCUGUUUUUGUUUUGAAAAGUUACUCCAAUUGCUAAAUUGGUAGUUUUUUUGUCCUUAUAAAUAUAACAUUUAAAAAAGAUACACAAUUAUAUAAAAUGUUUAUUUUCUAUGUGUCUGCAUAUAGUUCAAUAUUAUCCAAUAAAUUUGGUGUUUUAACUUAAAA